This 253-nucleotide ribosomal RNA is filed under the name uncultured bacterium. RNAcentral describes it as "partial 16S ribosomal RNA". It matches the Rfam family "Bacterial small subunit ribosomal RNA", at positions 524 to 776 of the family's 1533-position model. The record is from RNAcentral.
UACGUAGGGGGCAAGCGUUGUCCGGAAUCAUUGGGCGUAAAGCGCGUGUAGGCGGCCUUGUAAGUCCGUUCUGAAAGCCCGGGGCUCAACCCCGGGAGGCGGAUGGAUACUGCAAGGCUCGAGUACGGAAGAGGCGAGUGGAAUUCCAGGUGUAGCGGUGAAAUGCGUAGAUAUCUGGAGGAACACCGGUGGCGAAGGCGGCGUUCUGGACUGCAACUGACACUGAUAAACGAAAGCCAGGGUAGCAAACGGG